This 336-nucleotide ribosomal RNA is filed under the name uncultured bacterium. RNAcentral describes it as "partial 16S ribosomal RNA". It matches the Rfam family "Bacterial small subunit ribosomal RNA", at positions 338 to 691 of the family's 1533-position model. The record is from RNAcentral.
CCUACGGGAGGCUGCAGUGGGGGAUAUUGCACAAUGGGGGAAACCCUGAUGCAGCAACGCCGCGUGUGGGAAGAAGGUUUUCGGAGUGUAAACCACUGUUCGUGGGGAAGAGAAUGACGGUAACCAAGGAGAAAGAUCCGGCUAACGACGUGCCAGCAGCCGCGGUAAUACGUAGGGAGCAAGCGUUGUCCGGAUUUACUGGGUGUCAAGGGGGCGUAGGCGGUCUUGCCCGUCAGACGGGAAAACCACAGGCUCAACCUGUGGACGGCGUUUGAAACUGUGGGGCUUGAGUGAAGUAGAGGUAGGCGGAAUUCCCGGUGUAGCGGUGAACUUCGU